Molecule: non-coding RNA, 1517 nt
Organism: Paramuricea clavata
Lineage: Eukaryota; Metazoa; Cnidaria; Anthozoa; Malacalcyonacea; Plexauridae
Source: the annotation of a GenBank genome assembly
UGCAGUCAAAAGAUACACACGUCUAUUAUUUUGCUCUGGUGGAUUUUGAAAUAAACUAAAGUAACAUGGACAUUUAUCUUCAACAAUUCUUGAUUGUCUUCGUCUUUGGUGCUGCUCGAAAGUCGAUCUCAACAAGGUAUAAUCCUGUUUCACUUGAAAUUAGUUGUACUUGUUGUCAAUAUAUUUAGUAUUGAAUUUUGUGCCAAAGUAGCGAACUUGGCCAAGACGAAGUCAAAUGGUGAGCGUAUAUGCCUCCCAAGCAUUGAAUUUACACUUUAGCGUUGUUUAGCUAGGUUCUGAAAAGACUUUAGCUUCUCCUUCCGUAAUUUUUAUCGAGUUUUAAGGUUAAAAAUUCGCUCAAUUCACGAGCAUUGUUUGAGCGAAGUUGCAGACUCGCUAUAGCACGUGUGAAAAAUGACUUUUAAUGUUGCUUUAUUUCUGUUCUAAUUGAUUUUAAUCAGCUUUAGAAUGUAGUUAAGAGUCUUCCUAAGCGAGUUCUUGGUAAAAAGCAAUAGAAUUUCGACUGCGAGUAUUCUGCUGAAAGUUUAUACGCACUAGUUUGUCUUAAUAAUUAUCGAGAAAAUAUAUGCAUGGCUGAUUCGCCUAUUAAACUGGCAAAAUUUCAAAUGUUUGCGAUAGAUUAAGAACAUUUCGCAGUAUCAACAUAAAAUUGACUGCAUUGGCCAGACAAAAUUGAAACAAAUUCUCGAAGGCAUGUAUUCUUGAAUUAUAAGGAACAUUUGAGAGCAAUAACGGUAAACCCGAAAGUUCACUGUAGCAUAUUUUCAAUUCGCAUGCAUACGAAAAAACAAUGAUUUGAAGAGUUUUUGAGAGCUCAAGUUUAACGAAGUUAAUGUUUCGUUAAACUUAUGUGACUUUAAGAUUACCCUCGGCUCGGCCGACGUUUGAAGAUAUUUGUCUUAUAGCUUCUCAAUUCCCAUACAAUACCAGAAACCUUACAUGUGCAGAGUGUACAAAAAGUGAUCCUUUAGAAAUCACUGACUACAGAGCAAGGAGUAUUUAAUUAAAUUCCCAGGUGAAAAAUAACGCGCUUUUAACAACAAAACUAAGAUGAUUUCUAAAGAGACUUUACUGCUAUCCAAUCAUUUUUCUGGUUUUAACCACCUUAAGUGUGAUUCAAUAUUUAUUAAUUUUUAUUUUUUUCCAUUUCAGAUCGCACUGUUCAUCAGGCCUCAACCUGGCCCUUACCGCAUCAGGUGGUAAACCCGCAUUGGGCGGUCAAGUAAAAUUUUUACUCUGCACUUUUUAUUUUAUUCCCCAUUUUUUACAUGCAUAGUCGUCAUCAGGACGCAUGAUCUUAGAUACUUAGGUAAAUACGCCAUUGCAUGCCGAAAUAUUUCGUUCAACUUUUGGGCCAAAUUCAACCCUCGAAUGCAUGGGCUUUCAGCAUGUAUACCAAGUGAGAUGUGUUACAUGAAACAUUUCACUCUCGAUAUAUAUAAACACUGAUGGUCUACGUGCAUAAACAGACCUAUUUCUUUUUUCUCAAAGUACUG